GUGCUUGCUUUGGCAGCAUAUAUUCUAAAAUUGGAAUGAUUCAAAGAAGAUUAACAUGGCCCCUGUGCAAGGAUGACAUGCAAAUUCCAUGUUUUU
This 96-nucleotide small nuclear RNA is filed under the name Choloepus hoffmanni (Hoffmann's two-fingered sloth). Lineage: Eukaryota; Metazoa; Chordata; Mammalia; Pilosa; Megalonychidae. The record is from RNAcentral.